CAGGUUUCCCAGCGACAGCGUACGGACCCGUGGCAGCAGCAGCAGUGGCGGCAGCACGAGGCUCAGGGUUCCCCGAUUACGGCUUUUAUUCUGGGCCCAGUGACCAGCGGGGCGCCCCCUGCUCCUUUGCCGACUAUGCCAGCCUGGGUCCCCAUACGGGUCAGAUGCUGCAAAGCGAGCACGUCACCCCUACCUGCAACUCACCCUCCCAGCACCACCCAAGCCCGGACCACUUUAAGAGCUCAGGUGCUAACCCUCCACGGCCUGGAGGUUUUCCAGGUGCAAACAGUCCUGGACCCGUGGCAGACUUGUACGGCCCCAGCAGUCAGGACUCAGCAGUGGGAAAUUACAUCAGUGCUGCCAGCCCUCAGCCGGGUUCUGGGUUCAAUCACAGUAUCGCAGGUCCUUUGAUCGCCACAGCAUUUACAAAUGGAUACCACUGAAAGCUAGCCGGAGAUGUGGCACAAUCUCAUUGGAGAGUUCAUCGGGAAGCCCUGGAAAAAGGGCCGGAGUCUCUGAUUAGUUCGUGUACAGUUGAUGUCAUAAAGACUUCAAGCACUACAGGUUCUGAUUGGUGAAUGGACAAGAGGGGUGGAACCAAACACAGAGGACAAGAAAAAUACGAUCAUCUCAGAAAACAAACAUCACAACUGCUGUAAAUGUUAUCCAACCCUCCUGUCACUGCAGGACUCCUUCCCAUUUUUCUUUUCCACACGCUGUUUUCUUUGUGUAUGCUUUUUAAAUGACUUCAGCUUUUAGACAAACAUACUUAGAUGAGUGAAUUAUUCAGUUAGCUGUUGUCACAAUUUUGAGUUUUUUCCCCUCGAUUUUGGUGGCAGUUAACUUUAUUUUUGCACAUAUGGACAGACACCAUGUCAUUCAUCUAUUGGAAAAAAGAAAAUCAUCUUAGUAGCCGUUUUUAAUUGUGAAGUCUCAUUGUUGGUCAUACUGACUUAUUUUUGGGCAAUACAGAGGGAGAGGACUCCAAUAUUUUUAUGGUCCUUUUUAUAUAUAUAUAUAUCUAUCUGUGUUGUUGUUGUCAUUUAGAGAGAAAAAAAAUGUGUACUGUAA
Long non-coding RNA from Sinocyclocheilus grahami, 1071 nucleotides. RefSeq lists it as uncharacterized. The record is from RefSeq and is a predicted model, not a curated record. NCBI's taxonomy places the organism in Eukaryota, Metazoa, Chordata, Actinopteri, Cypriniformes, Cyprinidae. The transcript has 5 exons.